This 271-nucleotide long non-coding RNA is filed under the name Pan troglodytes (chimpanzee). RNAcentral's name for it is "long non-coding RNA NONPTRT018374". The record is from RNAcentral. Lineage: Eukaryota; Metazoa; Chordata; Mammalia; Primates; Hominidae.
CAAUUUUAGUUAUUUGUAACUGUUGUUUGCUAAGUCAUAACACGGUCAUGGAUAACAUGAAAAAAUAAAAUAUACUCAGCCCCCUCGCAAGGACACAAAUUUAACAACUAUCCACACAGUAGAAAACACCUCCAUAAGAACCCAAAAUCAGAGGAACUCUCAUAGUAUCUGCUUGUAUCACUGAAAGAGGCACUGAAGAGUUAGAAGAAACAGUCUUAAAUCGCUGACCCCACCCCUUCCCUAUCCUAGGCAGUGGCAGUGUGGUGUAAAG